Molecule: ribosomal RNA, 492 nt
Filed under: uncultured bacterium
Lineage: Bacteria
Description: partial 16S ribosomal RNA
Rfam family: Bacterial small subunit ribosomal RNA
Source: RNAcentral
AGUGAACGCUGGCGGUAGGCCUAACACAUGCAAGUCGAACGGCAGCACAGUAAGAGCUUGCUCUUACGGGUGGCGAGUGGCGGACGGGUGAGGAAUACAUCGGAAUCUACUUUUUCGUGGGGGAUAACGUAGGGAAACUUACGCUAAUACCGCAUGCGACCUACGGGUGAAAGCUGGGGAUCUUCGGACCUUGCGCGAUUGAAUGAGCCGAUGUCGGAUUAGCUAGUUGGCGGGGUAAAGGCCCACCAAGGCGACGAUCCGUAGCUGGUCUGAGAGGAUGAUCAGCCACACUGGAACUGAGACACGGUCCAGACUCCUACGGGAGGCAGCAGUGGGGAAUAUUGGACAAUGGGCGCAAGCCUGAUCCAGCCAUACCGCGUGGGUGAAGAAGGCCUUCGGGUUGUAAAGCCCUUUUGUUGGGAAAGAAAAGCAGCAGGUUAAUACCCCGCUGUUCUGACGGUACCCAAAGAAUAAGCACCGGCUAACUUCGUG